RNAcentral lists this long non-coding RNA (642 nucleotides) under Olea europaea (common olive). RNAcentral's name for it is "long non-coding RNA (OEUR_LNC011832)". The record is from RNAcentral. Lineage: Eukaryota; Viridiplantae; Streptophyta; Magnoliopsida; Lamiales; Oleaceae.
AGCGGUCCCUAACCUUUUCAUUUUUUGCAAUCUUUUACUCUAAUCUUUAUUUUGUGCUAACGAAGAUCCCUAACCUUUCAUAAAUAUGCACUUGAGGUCUAUUUGGACAGAAACUGUCCAAGGCACAUCGGUUGCAAUAAGCUUCCAUAAAAAUCGUCCAAAUCACCGUCCGAAAAGGUAUCAACAUCCAAUAAAAUCAUCACGAUAACAAACAGUUCAAGGAAUUUUCCCGAUCAACUGAUGAUGUUUUGGAUGGUUUCCGUCCAGAAGGACCUUAUAUGUAUAUUUAUGAAAGGUUAGAGAUCUUCGUUAGCAUAAAAUGAAAGUUAAGGUAAAAAUCUACAAAAAAUGAAAAGUAUAAGAACCGCUACUAUAACUUUAUCUUAUUGAAAUGGAAAAUUAAGAAAUAGGGGAGUGUAAUUUUCACUUCGGUACAUGUGAAUAUUCUUGUAAGUGGGUUUUUCUCUACAUGGACCCAGCUAAGGUGACGGGCUUUUAACCCCGUGACAAGGGACUGCUUUUUCAGCCCAAAAGAAAUAAGCAUCAUUGAAUAUGAGAAAAUUUACACAAAUAGCACUUGAUGGGGAUAAUUCCAAUAACGGAAAAGAACAGACUGUACAAAUUCCAAUAUCGGAAAAGAAC